GACGAUCAGAUACCGUCGUAGUCUUAACUAUAAAUGAUACUGACCAGGGAUAGGAUACUGUCCAUCUCGACUCUUCCCGGACCUUGGAGAAAUCAGAGUCUUUGAGUUCUGGGGGGAGUAUGGUCGCAAGGCUGAAACUUAAAGGAAUUGACGGAAGGGCACACAAAGAGUGGAACCUGCGGCUUAAUUUGACUCAACACGGGAAAACUCACCAGGUCCGGAUACACGUAUGAAAGACAAGCUGAAAGACUUUUCUCAAUGAUGUAAGUGGUGGUGCAUGGUCGUUCUUAGUUCGUGGAGUGAUUUGUCUGGUCUAUUCCGAUAACGAGCGAGACCCCGACGUUCCUAAUAGGGGUAGCAGCCCGGCUCGACCGCAAGGUCUUGUUAGCCGCUACCUCAUACAAGCUUCUUAGACGUAUCAGAGCCGAUAAGGUUCUUGAAAUGGGUUAAUAACAGGUCAGUCAUGCCCUUAGAUGUUCUGGGCCGCACGCGCGUUACAAUGGCAUGUA
Molecule: ribosomal RNA, 509 nt
Filed under: Craterium obovatum
Lineage: Eukaryota; Evosea; Eumycetozoa; Physariida; Physaraceae
Description: SSU rRNA
Rfam family: Eukaryotic small subunit ribosomal RNA
Source: RNAcentral